GUCGACUUCGGGCCAGACGAGCGUGUAGUAGGCACGGGGCUUGGGUGGGUGGGAAGCACUGGGCGGAAAGGAUGCGUAGGCGGGGUUGUAAGUCAGGGGUGAAAUCCUGGAGCUAAACUCCAGAACUGCCUUGGAUACUGAAGAUCUUGAGUUCGGGAGAGGUGAGGGGAACUGCGAGUGUAGAGGUGAAAUUCGUAGAUAUUCGCAAGAACACCAGUGGCGAAGGCGGCUCACUGGCCCGAUACUGACGCUGAGGCACGAAAGCGUGGGGAGCAAACAGGAUUAGAUACCCCAGUAGUC
Molecule: ribosomal RNA, 300 nt
Filed under: uncultured Bacillus sp.
Lineage: Bacteria; Bacillati; Bacillota; Bacilli; Caryophanales; Bacillaceae
Description: bacterial SSU rRNA
Rfam family: Bacterial small subunit ribosomal RNA (bases 52-300)
Source: RNAcentral